GUCGAGCGGUAGCACAGAGAGCUUGCUCUCGGGUGACGAGCGGCGGACGGGUGAGUAAUGUCUGGGAAACUGCCUGAUGGAGGGGGAUAACUACUGGAAACGGUAGCUAAUACCGCAUAACGUCGCAAGACCAAAGAGGGGGACCUUCGGGCCUCUUGCCAUCAGAUGUGCCCAGAUGGGAUUAGCUAGUAGGUGGGGUAAUGGCUCACCUAGGCGACGAUCCCUAGCUGGUCUGAGAGGAUGACCAGCCACACUGGAACUGAGACACGGUCCAGACUCCUACGGGAGGCAGCAGUGGGGAAUAUUGCACAAUGGGCGCAAGCCUGAUGCAGCCAUGCCGCGUGUAUGAAGAAGGCCUUCGGGUUGUAAAGUACUUUCAGCGAGGAGGAAGGCAUUGUGGUUAAUAACCACAGUGAUUGACGUUACUCGCAGAAGAAGCACCGGCUAACUCCGUGCCAGCAGCCGCGGUAAUACGGAGGGUGCAAGCGUUAAUCGGAAUUACUGGGCGUAAAGCGCACGCAGGCGGUCUGUCAAGUCGGAUGUGAAAUCCCCGGGCUCAACCUGGGAACUGCAUUCGAAACUGGCAGGCUAGAGUCUUGUAGAGGGGGGUAGAAUUCCAGGUGUAGCGGUGAAAUGCGUAGAGAUCUGGAGGAAUACCGGUGGCGAAGGCGGCCCCCUGGA
Molecule: ribosomal RNA, 681 nt
Filed under: Enterobacter sp. 6hN41
Lineage: Bacteria; Pseudomonadati; Pseudomonadota; Gammaproteobacteria; Enterobacterales; Enterobacteriaceae
Description: bacterial SSU rRNA
Rfam family: Bacterial small subunit ribosomal RNA
Source: RNAcentral